GCUACAUGACAUUCUUCGUCAUCAAAAGACUGACUCUUUGCUCUCCUAUGACAUCCUAAUAUUUAGCAUACUAGUGAGACUGAAUUCUUGUAGACCAAAUUAUGGAAAGUCAGAAGAUGCUCUAGAGGGAAGAAGCUGCUUCUCUAAGGCAGACUUAUGGACUCGCUUGGCCACUUGGGGGAGAUAAAAGCCAGCAGAUCUGUACAGCCCUCAGACAGACCACAAAUACGGUUACUAUUGGCCAACUCUAUUCCACACAGAAACUGGUUAUUGAGAGUCCAGGAAACACAUAGCUAUGAGAAGACCCUGAUCCUGAAGCAACACUGGACCAUUCUCAGCAUCCUACAGUGCCACAUACAGAUGCAUAAACUCACUGCACACGUCUGAGCUUUUCUGUUCAGCAGAAGAAAUGCCUUGAGAGACUGUUUUUGGCAACCAAAGUACUGUUUUCUAAUGGCUCAUCUGUUCUGAAAUAUAUUGCUGUGAUUUAUAGUAGCAUGUAAGGUAGUUUUGAAACCUGUUGGCUUGUAUGUCCCAUGUGAUGGAAUAGUUCCUCCUCUACUUUGACAAUAAAACUUCAUUAAACUACCUGUAACCAGAUCCAUUUUUCUGCUGCUGACCUUUUCUCUCACUGAGCACGAAACCCUUUUUUUUGAGAUUUAAAACCCUUUGCCUAAUUGUUAAGACUUAAGUUCUUAUUGAUCCUGUUUUAUUUAAGUAUGGAAAGCAUCUGAAAUUAAAUGACUAAAUAUAUCGUUCAUUUUAAAUAUUAAAACCACAGAUUAAGAGAGUUUUCAUCUCCUGGACCUUAAUACUUACAAGUAUCACACGCUGCAUUGUGUGGUUUCUUUGAAAAGCAUCCCUUGACAUUUCAGGAGGUUCUUCCUUUAGUUUCCGAGAGUUAAUAACCAGUCUUAUCCUACUUUUAACAAUUAACUGAUCAGAAUAGCAGAAGGUAAGACUUGCAUCACUGAGGUUUGGGAGCUUUAAAAUAUAUUUUCACCACCGAGUCCUUUUCUAAAUUUGUUGAGGUGCAGCUAUUAGCACAAAGCAGCACAUCACUUUAUGCAAGUUUUCCCUUUUUCACAAAGCUCCCGAAUUUUGCAGGAGAAAAAGAACCUAACUACAACAAUAACUCAAGUGCUUUAAGUCAUGAAUAGGCACCAAGCUUUGCCUAGCAAAAAAUUAUCAGAUUCUGUUCAAGUCAUUGCUGUGCUUGAAUUUGUUUUCUGUUUGAAAUUGGCAGAAAAAUUAAGCAGUGCAAAGCGUUUUUAAUGGCAUGCGGACAAAAGCUUCUCCCCCCCACCCCCCUGGGGGGUUUUCAGAAGAGAAACAGAAACUCAAAACUAGUUCCAUGACACUGUAGCCUUUAAAAAUCUCCCGUUAUUUUUCUCGCUUCCCAAAAGUCAUCUUUGUUUAGCAUUUCUAUUGUUUCGCAUUGUUCGUGCUGUGUGAUAACAUUAUUAAAGCAGAGGAUAGACAAAAUGUCUAAUUUAGAACUAACUCCCACUCCUCACUACCAUUUAAAGUGUAUUUUAUGGGUUUGUACAGUUAGACUGAAAUGUAUAGUAAUGCAUUCCAUUAACAAUAUAGUAUACAGAGCAAGAUACCGUGACUGAGACUACAAAUGUAGCUUCCAUUCUCACUUUCAAAUAAAUGGCAAAUAUAGUAAUAAUUCUCCUCUUAUUAGGUGUGUAAGUAUUGCAAUGUAAAUUGUUUUUGGUGAACACUUUAUUAAAAUGGAAUUUAAUUAUUCUGAUAGGUAAAAUAUGUCAGGUUCUGUAUUUUAAAUCUGUACAUUCACAACUGGAUAAUUAAGUGCACUUAAUGGUAGAAGUGUAGGGGAAGAAAGGUUUGAUUACUUCCAGUGAACUCAAAGAGAUGUAAUAACAUCUUACAUUUUUAGAGGAGACAGGCUUGGGAAGGGCUGCCAGUUUUAUGCUCAGAGCCUGGUCCCUAAAACAGUACAUGAAAAAUCCUCAUUUAAAACAGCUUAAUUACUGGAACAAGCACCACGUACCAUUUCAAGAUCUGAGAAUGUAUGCUAGGAAACAAAAUAAACAUGCUUAUAAAUAGUGUAGUCCUAAAUUAUAAAGAGGGAUGCCUCCAUCAGUAACAUUUUUACUAUUUACAUCUAAGCUUUCAACACGUUUACAAAACAGUAAAUUUGUUUUCAAAUGGAGGCCCUUUCAACGUAUAAUCAUUUCAUCCAAAAUACCGGUACCUUUCCAGUGAAGUUCUCAAUCGUUGUUUCCAACAAGAAUACAGCUGUAGAUGGCACAUGCUGUCAUAUAGGCGUCACAGGAAGGUGAAAUAUCUGGUGACUUCCCUCAAAAGUCUGGAGGAGAUUACUUCUCCAUUAAUGCCUGAAAAUUCUGUUGUUAAAUUGUGGUGGUAGAUAAAACACUACUGCACUCCUAUUCAUACCAUCUGCUCCUACUUUCUGUCUCAAGGUUACCACUCAGAUUAUCUCUCUCAGCUAUUUAUACGUGCAAAGGAGCAGUAGUAACCUUCAGGAUACAUUCCACAGAGAGGACCCAUCAAGAAAAAAAAAAAUUAAAAAAUCCAGGCUCUGUAAUUUCCCUCUCUUCCCAAUCCAUAGUGCAGAGGUUAAGACAGCUCACUUUUUCAUCAAGGAAAAAUUAGUUCUAAUUCCAAAUUAACCAUAAGCUUAGCAAACAGUAUUUAUACAUGACCUGUUAGAAGUAACCUAAGAAAACUUCUGCUGCUAAGGACCAAAAGCCUGUGUAAUACCAUCUAACCUGCUGACAGUGCAAAGCUAGCAAAGGUAGUAGCAUAUACUACUCAAGCCCAACACAAUCGCUGCAUUUUAGAUGUCUGUCCCCUCUGUGUUUCCUUUCCUUACCAACACACAUGUAAGUUGCGCCCUCCACUAGUGUCAGUUAUGCGCAUAUCCAUUGUCUGGGAUUGGAAAAUACCUAGAAAUAUGAUUUUUUUUCCUUACCUAAUGUCCAUUUCAAGUAAUUUGUCAUAACAUACCCGGUUCUGUAUAAAAACAUCGCUUGCCAAAUGCUUUAUCGUUGAAAUCCUACAAGCUACAGAACGGAAAUCCUUAGAAACCGCGUCUGGCUUGGGAAGUCCAGUGCAGAGAUAAUAGUUGUAGGCUGGGAUGACUUUAGUAUUGUGUUUGUCUCCACUUGCCCUGUUCUUUCUCUUGGCUAGGCAUGUGCUCACCGUCACCGAUGGAGACAGCACAUGGGGAGCUGGCACUGUGGUCCAGCCUCGGAGUUGCUGUGCUCUUACAGCUGCACCUUCUGUGCUUCACCAGUUCCGUUUACGUUGCAAUACUCAUUAAAUCUCUCUCUUGGCACGCUGUCAGGAGCUUUGUUGGAUUUUGUAAAAGCAGUGUAAACAACAGGAAUAGUUAAAACACAAAGGAAUGAUCCUGUGACUUAUGUACAAUGUCCACUAUUAUAAAAAGUAUAUCCUUUUUCCUUAGAACAGAAGGGAGCUCAAUAAAUACCUUUACUAAAGCUGCAAUGUCUUAGCAAAACAAGCUUGCUUUUGUAUUAUAUUAAAAAUGUUUGUCUGUUCCCGAUCUCAACAUUUUAGCAAACCAUUAACCUCAGCAGCAUGCACCAAAAUUUGAACGUUUUACAUAUGAUGAAGUUUGUCAUGACUUUUACAGUAUAAACUUGGAAACAGCGCUCUGAAAGAAAAAAAAAAAAGAAGAAGAAGAACAAUUUGUUUAAUAUUAGUAACUUUUAAAGGACAGGUAUUUCUGUUGUGUGUUACAGCUUCUCCAGACAUUAUACUGCAAUUGAAAGCUCAGUUUCAGAACGCCCAGAUAAAUGAGAGGUACAGCUGUCCUGGAGGAAAGAAACCCAAGAGUAGCAUGUGAACACUUUACAUAGUGUUGAAAUAGGCCAAGAAGGAUUUUAACUUAGUAGUCACAUUUCUAAAAUGGUAUUUCUAUAUAAAACUUCACCAAGUUUCCAGGCAUUAAAAGCAUUACUUUCACCCUCUAAUGUCAGCAGGUAGAAGAAUAAUUCUAUGGAGAAGCACCAGCCCCACCACGUGCUUCCUGCAAUGCAACAUAAACGCAUCGCUCCAGAUACCCAGCACAGACCAUACGUACACAUGAACAGAGCCAUCAAAGAGCUGUGCACCGACUGUUUUCCUGAGUUUUCCAUAACGAUCUACAGUGAAAUCCUGGCAUUAUUCAAGUCAGGAGUAUACUGAUCGCUUUGUUCCACGGUUCUUAACACAGGCAUAAUUAUUUCAUACUCUUGGGAAUGUUUUGCUUGAUGACCUUUUUAAAAAAAGAGGGAAGGUGUGUAGCUCUUUUACUGAGGCUUUACAUUCAUUCUUCUUUCAGUAUUUUAGAAUAUAGGAAUAGUGAAUGAGCCCUUAAUGUGGAAGCAGAAAAAAAGAGAGAGAAGCCAAAGUCAUCUUCCAAGGCUGGGUAUUCCCUACAACCCUAAGAGGGAAAAAAUCGGAACUCAAACCUGUUUCACAAACAUACACACCUUCAAAGGAUUCUGGAGCUUACACAGGAAAUUAAAUGGCAUCAAUGUGUUGCAAGAAAUGCUUCUUUCUAAACUACAUACCUUUUUUACUGUCAAGCCCAGUAUCUACUGAAGCUUUACAGGAGGGGGAAGUGAUGGUAAGCAGUGCAUUCAAAUGACUGCUUCUCUGUGUUCAGAGUAAGAGAACUAUGGAGACAUGUGAAGAAUGUACAGCCUUUCUCUUGAAAGAGUGCACCCCAUAAAUAUUUAUACUGGUCUUUGGCAAUAUGCUAAUCCAAGGCAAGUAAUUUUUCCUCUCUUAAAAAGAAUCGUGAAAGACAAUUAAGGUGAUUUAAUUACUGCCACGCAUAGACAGCAGAUUUUGAACUCUUGACAGACAUUCAUCACAGUGCCAUGUUAUCCUAACCCCGUAACACAAGACUCUGAAGAGAAUAGACAAUUAAACCUAGACCAUUUCCCCUACCUUCCUGCAGUACUCUGGGCUGCAUCCAAAUCCCAGGGACGCCAAUGGGAGCAGAAGCCAGGCUUUUCAAGUACUGACUGAAAGCCCCAGCUUGAAAUAAAACAGAAGUAGUUUGCAUGCAAGUUUGCAGUUCUUCAUGACACCAAAGUAAAUUUAGCUUCACAGUCCUUUUCUGAAUCAUUGAAAUCUGAAUUUAAAUGUAAGUGCAAGCAGCAAAAACAUUGC
This is a long non-coding RNA of Falco tinnunculus (common kestrel), 5178 nucleotides long. NCBI's taxonomy places the organism in Eukaryota, Metazoa, Chordata, Aves, Falconiformes, Falconidae. The record is from Ensembl.